CAUCUAAGUACCUCGAGGAAAAGAAAUCAACCGAGAUUCCGAAAGUAGCGGCGAGCGAAAUUGGACUAGCCCUUAAGCUUUACACGCGUUAGACGAACAGCCUGGAAAGGCUGACGAUACAGGGUGAUAGUCCCGUAGUUGACGACGUGUGUUCAGUGAAAUCGAGUAGGGCGGGACACGUGAUAUCCUGUCUGAAUAUGGGGGGACCAUCCUCCAAGGCUAA
RNAcentral lists this ribosomal RNA (223 nucleotides) under Vibrio alginolyticus. RNAcentral's name for it is "partial 23S ribosomal RNA". It matches the Rfam family "Bacterial large subunit ribosomal RNA", at positions 199 to 469 of the family's 2925-position model. The record is from RNAcentral. Lineage: Bacteria; Pseudomonadati; Pseudomonadota; Gammaproteobacteria; Vibrionales; Vibrionaceae.